RNAcentral lists this long non-coding RNA (4014 nucleotides) under Triticum aestivum (bread wheat). RNAcentral's name for it is "long non-coding RNA (TAES_LNC020543)". Lineage: Eukaryota; Viridiplantae; Streptophyta; Magnoliopsida; Poales; Poaceae. The record is from RNAcentral.
CCUUGCAUGUGCUACAAUGAUCGUUCUCACAUUUAGAAAUUGGAUUUAGUCUUUGGUUCAUGUUGAGGUAUCACACUUAUUCCUCUUGACCCUCUUAAUUCUUUUCUAUGUGUUUUACAGUUGGUUAUCUGUUGUUAUUUGAGUAUAUACUUGCUACUAUGUAUGCUUCACACGUCAUGUGUUUGUUUUUAUUCAGACUGUGGUUAUGAUUGUGGUCUGAUUGCUCAAUCUAUUCUGCUGCUUGUGGUUCGUGGUUCACAAUGAUCUGUUAUUCGCCCUUGUGUUUUCUUUAUGGAUGCCACACCUUCUUAGUCAAUGCGACUGGCCACACAUCAAUCAAGUCUUUUGUAGACCAUUGUGUAGUUUACAUCCCCUGAAAAAUUGCAUACAUACAUGUUGAAGCCUGCUUUGAUGCUUGCAAAUAAACCAAGGGAACCACAGCCCCAUGGGUGAUGCUUUGGGCGAGAUAGAUAUACAGAAUUGUUUCUUGUGGCGUAAAUCAUUAGAGAGGAGCCUUGGGGAGAGUCAAAGCUCCAAUUUGGACUGCUUGGUUCCAUCAAAUACCUACCAUUAUUGUGAUAAGCAUGUUCUACUUUAUGCUAAUUUUUUUCUUAAUUCCUGUGUGCUUAAGAUAUUUUGGUCUCAAUUAAACCACCCAUUUUGGAGUUGAAACAUCAUGGUGAUUUAGGUGUUCUUUUAAGACUUGGGUCAGCAACUUCAGGUUCAGUUAUUAUUGUUGUCUUAUGCAGUAUGCCAUUUUUCGCCUUGACAAAUUUUUGUUUGGACAUAAUAGGUUUAUAUCGCUGCUAUUUGAUGAAUACUUUUUUUCAAACCAAGCACCCAAGUAGCUGGCAAAUCCAGUUCAACAAAGUAGGAGGGCAAUAAAGAUUUUUCUUUUAAUGUUCUGCGGCAAGACACUUUAGUAGUUUAACAUGUGCUUGAUGCUUCCUGAUAAUAUAUGUAUGUUGUUAGAAGGAGCUAAUCUAUUUUCCUAACUACUUUAGUGGCUACAUUCUCAAAAACAUCAUUAUUUUCAUUUGAUGAUGGUUCAGAAAUAUGCAUUGAUUACUUCCAUUCGUUCUUUUACAUCACCGAUUUUACAUGCUUAUUAGUAGAGUAGGAAGAAUUGCAAGAUUUUGUAUGAUAGUUUUGAAUUCUUCUCAAACUGUACGCAUCAUAUGCUAAAGCAAAUACUUGUUGUAUUAUUUUGUAGGAGUUUGGAUUAUUGUGAGGACAACUUUUUGGAGUUUGGUUUACCCUGAGUAAUUGUUGUAGGAGUUGGGAGUGCUCUAUAUGCUCUGCGAUGACUGCUUGCACUACAGGAGCCUCCCGACGAAGGUCAUCUUUCUCACUUUUCUCCCCCUCCAGCCCCUCCCUCUAAAUCCCAUUGUAACUUUCAUGUGAAAGAGACUAGAUCAUGCAUAAGAAAGGGCAGAUUAGCAUUUCAUUGGUGUGUGUGCAUCGGCAGUGAGCUUUUGUGCUACUUUUAUUUCAGAGUGAUGACCAGUACUACUAAUUGGCAGAUACUCUAUUUUAUUUUGUGUUGCACUUAGCUCAAAUUAUUAUAUUUUCUUUAGAUGUCGGGUGAAAAGAGGUACCAAUAGAAUAUAUACCAGAUACUGAUUAUCUGCGAAAAAUUCUUAGCAUGUGGUCAUCUAAACGUAUUUGUUUUUCUAAGCCGCACAAACCAGGUUCAAAGAGUUGUAAGAAAGGAGAACUACGUGAAAUCAUGUACCAACUACUAACGCCUACCAACAAUCAGGUCGGUUCAGAGCCAGUCGCAGAAAAUAACCAACGGAAUUAUGCUCAUACCGCGAAUGGGAAGUGCAACUUUUAACCAAGAUGGCUUCUAGAUCAAUGUAAAAUAAUAGAUAUAGCUGACACUUGCAGCACCAUCUCCUUCCCGGUGAGAUCGGUGAAGUGGUUGAGGCCGAGGGGAUACGUGUAGACCCUGGUUUCGACCGCGGUCUUGUGUCGAUCGACGAGGCAAAAAUGGAAUUUUCUCAAAAGAAAAAGGGGAUAGGUAGAUUUAGUGUGCAAGUAUAACUAGGAUAGAUAGAUAGAUAGAUAGAUAACGUGUACUACCUCUGAUUGGCUUUUGUUGAACGGAUUCUGACUGUUGUCUUGCACUAAACUGAACAAGUGCCCAUGCAGUUUUACAAUCUGAACAUUCAUUUCAUUAAACAAGAAAAGCUAGGUUGGUCAUCAAUGAAGCAUUUAUGGAUCCAUUUGAUGAUGAAUCCUAUCCCAUCCCAUCUUGAAUACCCCUCUCUGCAUUUCAAAGGUACUAGCUAGCAUUACCCUAUUUGUGUUUGUCGAUCAAGUUUUCAGAUCAAUAGCUAUUAUUUUUUUUCUAAAUGUUUUAUAUAUGAUAACUUUUGUACAUACUGGUGUCCAUAUAAGUCAGCUAUGUAGUCUUGAUAUUUCAUAUGUACCUUCAAUUUUUUUGCCUCAAGUAAUGAGAUUAAAAUAAGUUUUAUGUUGUACAGCAAAUAUCUUGAGAGUGACCACUCCAAAACUUUAUGUUGGUAGGUACAUAUUUGAUAGCAUACUGUAGUCAAGGUAUAGUCUGUACUGUCAUUUCUUUUUGUGGUUAAAAUAUAUGACAGUUCAGUUGUCCAAGAAAAUUUUAAGAGGUUACUUCAGUACUUUGGGUCGUUAGUUUGGAGAAAACAUUUAGGCUUUCCCUUCUGCUGCUAUUCAUGAGGAUGUCCCUUUUUCUGUAUAUUCUUGUGUUAAUUAAGAAAAGGUUAACCACAUUAUUUGGAGCUUUACCUCAGCUCUUAUGUUUGCAAAUUGAUUUGUUGAACUUUUGGUGCAAGGAGAUCAACUACCUCUUGCCUGCAUUGCCUGUUAGAACGUUUUGGUCAAGAAAUAUGUAAUAUAAGAGAUAUUCUCCACUUUAGUUUGACUUCUUGACAAAUGAAAUAAAAGUGAAGUCUUAUUGGAAAUACACCUGAUCCAUUAUACUCCCUCUGUUCCAAAUUACUCGUCGUGGUUUUAGUCCAAAUUUGAACUAAAACCAUGACGAGUAAUUUGGAACGGAGGGAGUAUAUGGCAAUGUCAGUUCUAAGAUUAGUUCUUAACUGCUUAUGGCUUGUUACCGAGUACUUCUACUUAAUAUUUCUUAUUAUUUGUUGUCAAAUAUACCUAAGGGCACCAUCAUGUUUAUUUUUGUUAAUAAUCACUGACUUGACAUUAGAGCUUUGUCGUCUCAGUUUUGAUUUUUCCAAAUGGAUUUGCUUAUCAAAUGGUUGUCUCUCGGGUAAUGCGUGCACUUAAUUCAAGGAAAAGAUAUGAAUGGGUAUGCAGGAAGGGGAGUGCGUUCCGCUGCUGUAUGAGAAAAAGUGCACGCAACUGAGGACCUAGGAUGCCAACGGUGCAGAGCCGUUCACCAUCGAGAGGACCAGGGCUACCAUCAGGAAUCUCCGGACCAAGCUCAACAUCACCGUCGCCUUUGUCAAAGACGUGUCCCGGAGGGUAGUUGUCAUCUGCGACUCCUCCAAAUGUACGUGUAUUUAUUAUAGGCUGCUCGAUCGCCCUCCCCCUCUCAAGAACCCUGAUGAUGCAGGUGUUUGAUCGAUGUUUCUUGUUGCUGUGUUGUAUGUAUAGGCUGGCAAGGAUGUGGCGAGUCAUUGGCGACGUGCACCGGGUGAUGAAGCGCAUAGUGGAUGAGGUGAGCGAGCUUCUCCCAUAGUCACCACACGGUCGGAGGCAUCAGAGGCACACCACCGCCGUUGGGGCCUACACAUGCGCAAUUUCUAUUGUUGUAUCUUAUUAGUUGCCAUGCAGCAAGAUGCUUCUGUCGAUGGUAUUAUAAUUGUUGUGUGUUGUCUGUGAUGGAAUAUUAUUUUCUUUCUCACGUGAUGUAUAAAUAUAAUAAGUUUAUCAAGAAUUUCGUAUCCAGAUCCAAAAAGGAAACUGAAAGGGUCGUUCCCUGGUGCCAGCCUAUUCUCUGAAUGUGUUGCAUUUGCACUGCUGUCUUAUUAUUCCAGUCAUCAAGUUGCAUGUACA